Homo sapiens (human) is the source of this 3499-nucleotide long non-coding RNA. Ensembl annotates it as DXZ4 associated non-coding transcript 1, proximal. Its record names the gene DANT1. The record is from Ensembl. Lineage: Eukaryota; Metazoa; Chordata; Mammalia; Primates; Hominidae.
GGCUCUAGGAAGACCGGAUUCCUCUCCCUUCCCCUCCCCGGAUUCUUUCAGCCCUCACCUCCCAGGAAUGGGGAGGGGGCAUCCUACCCCAUAUCUGAGGUGCGACUGCGGGACGUAGAGCGGACUGGGCCUUUCCCGUUGGCGCGUGGCCUCAAUCAGGCACAUGUGGGCAAGAAGAACCAGACAGUCCAAGAAACCCAAUCAUGUUGAGACAUGGAGAGCAGAAAAGGAAGCGAGCCCGGAAGAAGUGGAACUUCACAUCAAUGUAGUGCUCCCAAACUUUGGCAGUUGCAACUGAUCGUGUGAUAAAUCAUUCAGGCCAAGUGAGAGACAGUAAGAGAAAUGCAAAAGAGCCCAUGGCCUGUGACACUACUUCCAGUUCUACCACCCACCCGGGGGAACUUCCUUCUUGAUCCCCAAAGGCAAGUUGAGGCAAGUAACAGUUGGAUGUCACCCUGUUUAUCCUGGGAACAUUGGCCUGCAGUCAACAGCAGAAGUGCAUUUUUAGGUGGAAGAUGAAUGUCUGGAUAGCAGUCUCUGAUGGAGAGGCACAUGUGUCCACAUGGAUCUCUCUCUGAAUUCAGGUGGAAUGAAGGAAUCUGUUCUAUUUGGGAACUUUUCUGCUACUGGCACUUCCAAGAGGAGAAGCUUCUCCCAAAGUUCCAGGCUUGGAGGUUCAUCCUCCCAUUAUCUUUACAUUCUGUGUCAUGCCAAGGAAAGAAGACAUGCCACCUAUUACCUUGAGAAGUUCCCGUAGGUCCCUUACUAUUCUUAAACUCUACAAAGUGGGUGUGACCCCCAUCCCUGUGCAUGCUCCUUUGUUAACUUUGGCCACUCAUUCUUCACAUUCUUGAAAGCGCCAGAACCCACCAAUAAAUGGCCGGGUCCUCUGCUUAACCAGAUUGUUUCCUGCAAAGCGACAUGUCCUCCAAGCUUCAAUCUCACAUGCCAUGUUGGAUCUGGCCUAAUUCCACCUCCAAUACAGAGGAGGCAUGGAGAUGUCUGGGUUAAUGUGCCAGGUCAUAGCACCAUUUACAGCGUUUUCUGAGUGUACCCCAGCAGUCCUUUCUGGCAUGUAGCAGGCUCUCUCCACAAGAAGCCCAAUUGGUUCUUCCUUCUGCAUGCUCUUGGCUUCCUGGACUUCAGAAGGCCAAGGAAGACUCUCUUCCCUCCCAGUUUAAACCUAAACAUGGCAAGGACCUGGGAACUCCCCAAAGAACAGGAGGGAGCCUUGGAAGGUUCCAAAACAGAAACGAGCACAGGUUCCAAGACAACCAUCUGAUCCUUUGAGACAUAGACACAACAAAUGAGGUCCUCAGGGGUGCAUAGUAUCUCAUGGUGGCCAGGCCUGGUGUUGCCUCAAUCUCAUCUAGUAAAGUCUGGGUUUAGGCCCCACAGGGCCCCAGACAGCACAUCUUCUUCUUUAAGAUGGUGGACCAUCCCAGCACUGGCCAUCUCAGGCACCAAUAGCCAAAGAAUUACAGUGCUGGGAGUGAUCUUUCACUAGGGUGCACUAUGGCCAAGGGAGUCUCUCAGGGCCUGGGACCCACCUAGGCCUUCCCACCCAUUGUUCCCAGGGGAAAGGGAACCAGGCAAAAUGCCCAUGGCCUUGAGAUGGGGCUCCCUGGUGGAGGCCUUUGCUAGUCUUGCCCAGACAUGGCUGCCACCAGCCUCUUGAGCCACAGCUUUCUGUAUGGGACCCGCCAGGUGUCCUGGAUGUCCAGCUCUUUUUGACACCUGUCCCUGGAGUUUCCAGAACCUGAACAGGUCAUGAGCCAUGCUUCCCGCAUGCCUCUGGAUAGCUUAUAUGGGCAGAGCUCCUAGUCUUGCCUGAAUCCUGACAGUACUACCAAGCCACUCCUCCCCAAGCAACCACAGGGAAGGGUGAUUGUGAUUGCCAUACAUGUUCCUCUUGAUGGCAGUACUGUACCAGAAUUACCAGCAAACUUCCUCCCCUCCCUCAAGAUCCUGUCCCUGUGCCAUCUGUUAUUAAAGAAACAGCCAAGAAGUAUCCAUUGUAGCUGAUUACUGGGUGCCUAGUUCUCACAACUGGUACAUCCUGCAUAACCUCUUCCCAGUCUGGUGAUCUGUCGCUCUCACAUGCCAUCUACUUGUCUUCAAACAAUAAAGAUCCCACACUUGGGCUGGCCAGGAGAGGACACAGAUGCCAUAACAGGAAUACCCACCUCCUUGCACAUGACCCAUGGUCAGUGACUGAACAACUCUCCAUAGAAGGCUUGUAGAUGCAGGUAUACUGUAGAUGCAGGUAUACUUCUAAGCCUCUUGAGUUUCAGCUUGGAAGAGAAUGACAGCUCUUUAAGAUACCACAUUUCCUCUAUGUUCCUCCUGAGAGUGUUGAAAGAUAGAUUUAAAGACCAUGGGGAGAUUGGUACCAGGCUGUGGGCAUGAACAUGCGUCCCCACUCCGUUCUGCAGGAGCACCCUCUUAGAGUUCAGCCUGAGCACACAAGUCCUCAUUAGUCAGGAGAAGGGCCAUAGUGCAGCAAGCCAGGCCCAGGAGGGAUCAGGUGACAUCAGGCAGAAAAGUGAGUGAGCACAUAAUUUAAUGCAAGGCAAAAGUCCAGAAGAUCUGGCUCCCUUCCCUGGGUCCCAAACAGACUUUUCUGCCCCAGUGAGGCUGGGAUCAUUUAUUAUGGGCAAUAAAGGGAGCCCAAAAGUCCUAUCACUGGCAGAUGGCCUCACGAAGUUCUAGGCCCAACCCAUUUCCAACCUCCCCUGCUCUUUAGGACAGAGACCUUGAGUUUCAUGAAGUAACCCAAUCCCCUUAACGGUACACAUCAUACCUAGGUGCUCAUUCAGAUGCUUCCCUACUUUGAGCCCACCAUCAAGACUUUACUCAUGAGCCUUUCCUACCAAGCAUGGUAGAAAGCUAUAGAAGAGGAUACAAAUGCCCCAUGCCAGCUAUCUACAUGCCCUAGUAGUCUCUCUUGGAGGAGUGCUGAAAUCCCAGAACCACUGCCCCACUUAUAACAUAAAACAGACUCUUCAAAAAGAAGAAGAAAAAAAAACCACUUGCCCAUAACCCCAGCACCUACAGACAACCCAGGCUUGCAGUUUUCCUCUCUUUCUGUCUAUUCUGUGUUCCCUGAAACAAGAUAGCCAACUGUCCUUCACUGUAUGUGGGAUGGACUGCUAAAGUGACAUUCAAAACAUAGCAGUGUACAUAUACCCCAUGAAAGCAACUGGGUGAGGGCUUUUAGGCUAGGAUAUCAGCUCUCUAGUGUCCUGUCAUCUAUGGAGAAAGCAUAUCAUGAAAAUCAACUCUACUCAUCUGGAAAUCACACAAAUGCUACUCGAGGCUGUCAUAAAGAGGCAGCUCUCCUGGAAUUGUCUUGUAUAAAACCAGAGGAUAUCUGUCCCUCAGUUCUCCUUUCUGUGGGUACCCUGACUUUCUCACCUUGGCGUCUCCCCUCACAGUAUUUCUUUCCUGGUUACUUUACUUAUAUGAGUAUGGAAGAAUAAAUUUCCAAGUAUGUUCA